This 440-nucleotide ribosomal RNA is filed under the name uncultured bacterium. Its description in RNAcentral is "partial 16S ribosomal RNA". It matches the Rfam family "Bacterial small subunit ribosomal RNA", at positions 338 to 795 of the family's 1533-position model. The record is from RNAcentral.
CCUACGGGCGGCUGCAGUCGGGAAUUUUGCACAAUGGGCGAAAGCCUGAUGCAGCAACGCCGCGUGAGGGAUGAAGGCCUUCGGGUUGUAAACCUCUUUUCUCAGGGACGAUGAUGACGGUACCUGAGGAAUAAGCCACGGCUAACUACGUGCCAGCAGCCGCGGUAAUACGUAGGUGGCAAGCGUUGUCCGGAUUUACUGGGCGUAAAGAGCGCGCAGGCGGUCGUGCAAGUCGAAUGUGAAAGCCCCCGGCUCAACUGGGGAGGGUCAUUCGAUACUGCUCGACUUGAAGGCAGGAGAGGGAAGCGGAAUUCCCGGUGUAGUGGUGAAAUGCGUAGAUAUCGGGAGGAACACCAGUGGCGAAGGCGGCUUUCUGGCCUGUUCUUGACGCUGAGGCGCGAAAGCCAGGGGAGCAAACGGGAUUAGAUACCCUGGUAGUC